CUCUACUUCGCGCUUCGCUAUGGUUCUGUUGCUGUUUGUGUCUGCACUGCAGUACGACGAAAAGCGCGGUCAUGUGGCUCGCGAUUCAUAUUCUGGAAAUAUUGUUUGCUCAUGGGGACGAGGGGAGGAUGGCCAACUAGGCCAUGGGGAUGCUGAAGAUCAUUCAUCACCUACACAUUUGAGUGCACUGGAUGGUCAAGAAGUAGUAUCUGUUACUUGUUGAGCUGUCACACAACUGCAUAUUCUGAAUCACUUAAGGAGAGCUGGGGAUGGGGUGACUUUGGGAGGUUGGGUCAUGGCAACUCUAGUGACGUCUUUAUGCCUCAACCAAUCAAAACUUUACAGGGUUUGAGAAUAAAGCAAAUUGCUUGUGGGGACAGCCAUUGUUUGGCUGUGACUAUGGAAGGAGGAAUCCAGAGAUCCUUUGCUUGAUUAAAGCUGGGGGAGAAUUCAAAAUGGUCAACUUGGUCUUGGCACCACUGAGGAUUCUCAUUCUGCCACAGAAGAUCCACGAAUGUCAGGUACUGGCAAGUAACUUAUCUGGAAUACUGUCAAUAAGGAUCUUUGUUGCUCACUGCUUAGAUGAGUGAUCCUUCACCAACAUACUUUUUGAGAAAGAUUUGUGUGUUCACUACUGCCAGACAUUUAGCUCAAUCUUUCUUCCUAAGCUGCAUCAAUGUUUUGACUAUUUGAGGCCUUUACAGUGAGCUCCCAGUUAAUGAGGAACAUCUUGCAGCAUACUUUGUAGAAGGAUAAGGGAUUUACUUAAA
This is a long non-coding RNA of Syzygium oleosum, 770 nucleotides long. RefSeq lists it as uncharacterized. Lineage: Eukaryota; Viridiplantae; Streptophyta; Magnoliopsida; Myrtales; Myrtaceae. The record is from RefSeq and is a predicted model, not a curated record. The transcript has 4 exons.